RNAcentral lists this unclassified non-coding RNA (2136 nucleotides) under Hevea brasiliensis (rubber tree). The record is from RNAcentral. Lineage: Eukaryota; Viridiplantae; Streptophyta; Magnoliopsida; Malpighiales; Euphorbiaceae.
GAUUGCAUUUUCAAGGAAUUUAAACAAAAAAAAAAUCAUGUAAUGAUAAUAUGAUACUCCACUAAUUAUAAUUCAAAUUGAGGAGUAUGCCUAUAGUUUUGAUUUAGAAAGAUUGAGCCAUCUCUACCCAAAAAAGGAGGAAACUAGGUCUUGAUCACCCCCAGAACCAAGGGUUGAAGUGAGACUGGGUGCAUUACAUUACCAAUAUGAAGACUAUGUUCACCCAUUGGAAUCCUUCGAAUCCCAGACCUAUCCACAACACUCAGGUACUUGCACACAUGUAUGUUAAUUUUUACUCUUUGCUGUGUCCCUGCAGCGACAUGAACCUUCUCAAAGGCUACCAAUUGCUUGUGUGGAACCCAAUGUCCUGCCGGUGGUUUAGAGUAGACCAGCAAUGUGUCAGUUCCAUCCUUGGAGCCAACAUUUUUCACGUCUACUUCAAUUCCUAAUGAAAGCCUGUUACAUCUUGUAUGUGUGACUCUAAUUGCCUUCCCUGAGAUGGUUGUGUUUCCAGAGCCACGGCGAUGUCCAUCGACAGGUACUGAAAUCAUGGUGGGUGCACUAGCUAUUGUGUGAACAAAUAUUGUAUAGCUCAAUCCAUGUCCAAAUGGGUACACCACUUUACCUUUAUAGAAUCUAUAGGUUCUGCCAGGAUACCCCUUUGAUCGGCUUGAUCUCAUGGCCAUCUCUGUCAUUGGCAGAUUUGUGAUGUAAUCUUGUGGGUACCACGUCAUAGGCAGCUUGCCUCCUGGGUUUGUUGUUCCAAACAGGACAUCCGCGAUCGCAGCUCCACCGGAUUGGCCAGGAUAACCAGCCCAUAAUAUGGCAGAGAUUUUGGGAUCAUUCAUAGCGAAAGACACAUCAAUGGGCCCACCAGACAUCAAGACCAAAAUGGUUGGACCUUUAGAAGCCAUUGCAACCUUAGAUACAAGCUCCUGUUGGCGUCCUGGGAGAAGAAGCCCAGCCCGAUCUCUGAACUCUGCCUCCAUGGACUGGUCAAGCCCCAUCACUAGAAUUGUUGCGUCGGCUUGGCUUGCAGCGUUAAUAGCUCCACCAAAUAGCUGGUCACUUACGCAGCUCACAUCUGCACAACCCUGCUGGUAAAUUGUCCUGGCAUAGCUUCCCAUUCCUUGAAGAGGCGUAAUAUAUCCACAAGCAACGCCAGCAUAAUUCCCAAUCAUAGUAACAGUGACAUUAGCAUUAGGCCCAAUGAUGGCAAUGGUGCGAUAACGGCGAGUGGACAAUGGCAAUGUAGGACCAUGAUUAUUCAAAAGAACAAUGCCUUGUCUAGCUGCUUCAAGGGCUAGCCCUUGGUGAGCCGGGGUGCAAACGUGUUUUGGACCAAGGUUCCCAUAUGGCUGCACUGAUGGCUCACCAUCAAACAUCCCCAGCCUCAUCUGGACAGUUAGCGUAUUAGACAAAGCACCAUUUAUGUCAGCCUCACUUACAAGGCCUCUUUUAACUGCAUCCUCAGUGUGUAUCCCAAGGAAUGGACCACAGUCCAAAUCCAAACCUGCUUUGAUGGCAUCAGCAGCAGCCUCUUCAGGAGUUGAUGUAUAAUGUUGCUUAUCAUAAUAAACGCCAACGGAAUCACAAUCUGAAACGAUGUACCCAUUGAGGGCCCAUUCAUUGCGCACUGUCCUCCGCAAGAGAUUAGGAUCAGCACAAGUUGGGAUGCCAUUUACUUGGUUAUAGGAGCACAUCACACUCGCCACCUUUCCUUCCUUCACACACAUCCUGAAUGGUACAUCAAAUGUGUCCUCAAUGUCCUGCUUGCUUACCUUAGCAUUAAAGUGGAACCGAUCCACUCCAUUCCAAUUAUCGAGGUCGUAGGCUGUGAAGUGCUUACAACAAGCAGCAACCUUCAACCGUUCACCGUCGUUUCCUUGUAGACCUCUAACAUAGUUGGCUGCAUAUGUACCGACUACUAAAGGAUCUUCUCCGGGAGUCUCCUGUCCUCGGCCCCACCUUGGGUCUCUGAAAAUGUUGACGUUUGGGCUCCAAUACGUGAGCCCACCCAUUCCACCGUUGUACAUUGCUCUUGCUUCAUCUGACACAACCCGUCCAAUUGCCUCCCACAGUGUAGUAUUAAAAGAAGCAGCGGUAGUGAUCACUUGAGGGAAGCUAGUGGCCCCA